RNAcentral lists this ribosomal RNA (441 nucleotides) under uncultured bacterium. RNAcentral's name for it is "partial 16S ribosomal RNA". It matches the Rfam family "Bacterial small subunit ribosomal RNA", at positions 338 to 795 of the family's 1533-position model. The record is from RNAcentral.
CCUACGGGAGGCAGCAGUGGGGAAUAUUGCACAAUGGGGGAAACCCUGAUGCAGCGACGCCGCGUGAGCGAAGAAGUAUUUCGGUAUGUAAAGCUCUAUCAGCAGGAACGAGACAAGACGGUACCUGACUAAGAAGCCCCGGAUAACUACGUGCAAGCAGCCGCGGGAAUACGUAGGGGGCAAGCGUUAUACGGAAUCACUGGGGGGAAAGGGAGCGUAGACGGCUGAGCAAGCCUGAAGGGAAAGGCGGGGGCCCAACCCCCGGACUGCUUUGGGAAGUGUCCGGCUGGAGUGCAGGAGGGGUAAGUGGAAUUCCUGGUGUAGCGGUGAGAUGCGUAGAUAUUAGGAGGAACACCAGUGGCGAAGGCGGCUUACUGGACUGUAACCGACGUUGAGGCUCGAAAGCGUGGGGAGCAAACAGGAGUAGAUACCCUAGUAGUC